UGCCAUGCCAUGCCAUGCCAUGCCAUGCCAUGCCAUGCCAUGCCAUGCCAUGCCAUGCCAUGCCAUGCCAUGCCAUGCCAUCCCAUCCCAUCCCAUGCCAUGCCAUGCCAUCCCCUGGGGCCAUGCCCAUGGACAGGAUGGAAUAGGGGCCGGGCAGACACCCCACAGCCGUGCUCCAUGCCCUGGGGCGGCGCGGGGCUGUCCCUGCCUGGGCAGCGCAGGGCUGGGCUGUGUUCUCCGGCCUCUCCCGCAGCCCCUCAGCUCGGGCUGCGCUCGCUCUUUGCCAGGUGCAGCCGUGCAGCGCACACGAGAGCAGGAACGCACCCGUGGCCGCUUCCGCAGAACAGCGCAGGUACCUGCAGCCAUCCCCACCUGGGCUGGGCCUGCUGGCACUGCUCAGCCCAGCACUGUGCUCGGAGCACUCCAUGCAACAUCCCGGGCUUCUUGCCCUUCUGCUACAGAUGGUUUGCAAAUUCAUGAAGAGGAUUCGGGAGGAAGAGAGCAGCGUCGUGGGCACUGUGGUCAGAGCGUACUCUCCCAUCUUCAAAACCAAGACCAGUGCUGCCCUGCUGGAUAUGCUUGUGGAGGAGGGUCCUUCCAGCCCAAAGCAAGUGAGCAGCCUGUGGCCUGGCUUUUCUCCUCCCAGCAGUUGCGUGGCCUCCCAAGCCACGCCUGCUGCUCCCUGGAAGCCUUUGAGGCCAUGGCAGUGUGGUGGCAAGGGAAGCACUUCUCUGGGGCAGCUGGGCACAUUCCUUCCUCUGGCAGCUUUCCAAGUCUCCCCUGCCUUCUCCAGGUGCCGGCCAUGGUGAGGUACAUCCACCAGUGGCUGGUGGCCAAUGAGUUUCCUGAGUACAAUCUGUACAGGCCCCUCCUGGAUCUGACAGAGGCACAGCCCUCUGACGUGGUGAUGGCUCUCCUGCGUGUGGCCCCAGUGUGUGACAGAGCUGCUUUGGCCAUGUGGAAGAGCAUCAUGUGCUCGCCCAGGACUGCAGAGCCGGCCAUGCUCGUACUCCUCGAGGUGCUGGGGAGCUGGCCAGAGCACAGCACGUGCACCUCCGAUGGGGACCACACGGCUGUCCUUGCCCUGGCUGUGAGUUUCUGCCUUUGCUGGCCCCAAGGCCACCUCUCCAGCAGCUCUCCAUCCUCCCUCCCCCACGGCGUCUCCCUGCCUCAGGCGCUGGGCUGAAACCUGGCCUCGGGGCAGCUUCAGGGCCACCAGGCCCGGUGCUCCCCCUUCGGUGCUCCCCCUGCGUCUCUCCGGGCCUCUCCCUCCCGUACUGGGCCCUGCCACACGGACACCUCGGCACUGAGCGCUGUCUCGGGCUGCUCUGUCCUUUGCAGGCAACCGUGGUGAUGUGGAAGAUCCUCCAGCUGCCCUGUGUGCCACAUGUAGUCACCGUGUGUUUCCCCUGCCUCUUUGUGCAUCUGCUCUUCCAAGUGCUCUUCAGCACUCUGGAUAUGCCAGAGGAGGUCGAUACCUUCUGGAAGGGAUGCCAGCAGCAACACGGCCUUGCCACCAACCCCAGCAGGUGCUCCAUGCCAGUCCUCCUGUCCUUGCCACAUCCCUGGGCAGGGGCCAGUGCCCCCAGCGUGACCUGGGCUUUGCUCUGCGCACAGGUUUGCAGAGCAGACCCUGAAGGCCCUGCUCUGCCGACUGCACUAUGAGGAUGUGGUGGUGGCCAUGGAAGACAAGGGUGGCUGGGACACACUGCUCUGUGCUGACACCCACCACUGUGCUGUGGGCGUGCUGGCCAGGUGAGACCCCCUGCUCCCCAGCUGUCCCCAGCAUGUGUGCCCUGCGCCCCAGGUGCCCCACACAGUCCCCGUGGCCGUGGGCCAGAAGCCCUUGUCACCAAGGGACGGCCAAGGAGGCUGCAAAAGGCUGGGAGAGGAGCGUGCCCAAGAGCAGCAACCUCCCAGAGGGCUCAGCUGCCCCUUGCAGGGU
This 1945-nucleotide long non-coding RNA is filed under the name Taeniopygia guttata (zebra finch). RNAcentral's name for it is "lncRNA (ENSTGUG00000020639.1)". Lineage: Eukaryota; Metazoa; Chordata; Aves; Passeriformes; Estrildidae. The record is from RNAcentral.